This 1526-nucleotide ribosomal RNA is filed under the name metagenome. RNAcentral describes it as "bacterial SSU rRNA". It matches the Rfam family "Bacterial small subunit ribosomal RNA". The record is from RNAcentral.
AGAGUUUGAUCCUGGCUCAGAACGAACGCUGGCGGUAUGCUUAACACAUGCAAGUCGUACGAGAAAGAGGGUUUCGGCUCUUGAGUAAAGUGGCGAACGGGUGAGUAACGCGUGAGCAAAUUACCCUAGAGAGGGGGAUAACACUUCGAAAGGAGUGCUAAUACCCCAUGACAUUAUUUUUACGCAUGUAAGGAUAAUCAAAGGUGGGCUGCUUCAUUUGAAAGCUCAUGCUCUGGGAUGUGCUCGCGUACCAUUAGCUAGUUGGUGGGGUAAAGGCCUACCAAGGCGGUGAUGGUUAGCCGGCCUGAGAGGGUGAUCGGCCACACUGGGACUGAGAUACGGCCCAGACUCCUACGGGAGGCAGCAGUGGGGAAUAUUGCGCAAUGGGGGAAACCCUGACGCAGCAAUACCGCGUGAAUGAUGAAGGCCCUUGGGUUGUAAAGUUCUGUUAGGUGGGAAGAAGUGCUAUUACGCGAACAGUGUAAUAGUUUGACGGUACCACCAGAGGAAGCCCCGGCUAACUCCGUGCCAGCAGCCGCGGUAAUACGGAGGGGGCUAGCGUUGUUCGGAAUUACUGGGCGUAAAGGGCGCGUAGGCGGCGUUGUAAGUUAGAUGCGAAAGACCAUGGCUUAACCAUGGGAUUGUAUCUAAAACUGUAAUGCUUGAGUAUAGGAGAGGAGAGUGGAAUUCCCAGUGUAGCGGUGAAAUGCGUAGAUAUUGGGAGGAACACCGGUGGCGAAGGCGGCUCUCUGGACUAAUACUGACGCUGAGGCGCGAAAGCUAGGGGAGCGAACGGGAUUAGAUACCCCGGUAGUCCUAGCUGUAAACGAUGGACACUAGGUGUGGGAGGUAUCGAAUCCUUCUGUGCCGGAGCUAACGCAUUAAGUGUCCCGCCUGGGGAGUACGUUCGCAAGAAUGAAACUCAAAGGAAUUGACGGGGGCCCGCACAAGCGGUGGAGCAUGUGGUUUAAUUCGAAGCAACGCGAAGAACCUUACCGGGGUUUGACAUAUACAUGACGUCAGCAGAGAUGUUGAUUUUUCUUCGGAGACAUGUAUACAGGUGCUGCAUGGCUGUCGUCAGCUCGUGUCGUGAGAUGUUGGGUUAAGUCCCGCAACGAGCGCAACCCUCACCCUUAGUUGCCAUCAGGUCAAGCUGGGAACUCUAAGAGAACUGCCGGUGAUAAACCGGAGGAGGGUGGGGAUGACGUCAAGUCCUCAUGGCCCUUAUGUCCCGGGCUACACACGGGCUACAAUGGCUGGUACAAAGGGUAAUAGCGAGACCGCGAGGUGGAGCAAAUCCCAGAAAGCUAGUCACAGUUCGGAUUGAAGUCUGUAACUCGACUUCAUGAAGUUGGAAUCGCUAGUAAUCGUGGAUCAGCAUGCCACGGUGAAUACGUUCCCGGGCCUUGUACACACCGCCCGUCACACCACGAAAGUUGGCUGUACCAGAAGUCAUUGAGCGAACCCGCAAGGGGCGCAGGUGCCGAAGGUAUGGUUGGUAAUUGGGGUGAAGUCGUAACAAGGUA